Molecule: non-coding RNA, 400 nt
Organism: Cinara cedri
Lineage: Eukaryota; Metazoa; Arthropoda; Insecta; Hemiptera; Aphididae
Source: the annotation of a GenBank genome assembly
GCGAUUAACCCGGCUAUAUUCAUUAUCAGUUGUGCAGCGAGGUUAAUGGUUAUAGAUUCGCGAAAACUACAUGGUUUUGGGGUUAUUGAAACGAAUAACUUUAUUCGAUAAUCAGAAAAAAAAAAAAAAAGUAUUGGCCAGAUAUUUAAUCGUUAUACUUUAUCAAUAACCCUAACACCGUAACCGUUCGUUUCGCUUGGUUAUGACAUUUCAGUGGCCCGUUUUAUCAAGGCGAUAAACGAAAUCGCCGAUACGACUUGUUUUUUAAAUAACAGCGUGACCGGGUUACUAACGGUUGUUCGCCGAAACACGUCUGAUAUCUCGCAAUGAAAAUCUAAACGCAUUUUCUUCCCGGUUAUUUUACCUAGUUGUUCGUUACGGUGGCUGGACCCGUCGACGG